RNAcentral lists this transfer RNA (74 nucleotides) under Thiothrix lacustris. RNAcentral describes it as "tRNA-Arg". It matches the Rfam family "tRNA". Rfam says of the family: Transfer RNA (tRNA) molecules are approximately 80 nucleotides in length. Their secondary structure includes four short double-helical elements and three loops (D, anti-codon, and T loops). Lineage: Bacteria; Pseudomonadati; Pseudomonadota; Gammaproteobacteria; Thiotrichales; Thiotrichaceae. The record is from RNAcentral.
GCAUCUGUAGCUCAGUUGGAUAGAGUACCUGGCUACGAACCAGGUGGUCGGAGGUUCGAAUCCUUCCAGAGCCA